Nymphaea colorata (pocket water lily) is the source of this 73-nucleotide small nucleolar RNA. RefSeq annotates it as small nucleolar RNA SNORD34. Lineage: Eukaryota; Viridiplantae; Streptophyta; Magnoliopsida; Nymphaeales; Nymphaeaceae. The record is from RefSeq and is a predicted model, not a curated record. The transcript has a single exon.
CAUGGCUAAUGAUAAUAUUCUACUAUUGCCUACAUUGGUUGACCUUUGCUUGAAAAACAAUUCUGUGCCCAUG